Long non-coding RNA from Serinus canaria (Common canary), 1487 nucleotides. RefSeq lists it as uncharacterized. The record is from RefSeq and is a predicted model, not a curated record. Lineage: Eukaryota; Metazoa; Chordata; Aves; Passeriformes; Fringillidae. The transcript has 3 exons.
CAAUAAAGUCCUUGGAAAAAUGGGUUACAUCAAAACAACCAAACCAAUAAUGAUUAACAAAUAAGAGGAAUGUACCUCAGAGUCUAAAAAACUAAUAUAUGAUUAUAUAUUAUGAUUAACUGUUGUCUCAACUAGCACAGGUUCUAUCAUCAUCAUAGCACAAGGUGUUUGUAUUAUGAGAGCUUCAUACCUUCUUGAUGUUCCUCAAAGGCAGCUCCUCUACACACUGACUUUGCCCAGUCCUUGCAGUAGUCUGACACUCCUCACUCCUCUUUCCUUACUCUUAUAUAGCACUAGUUCUAAGUGAUUACAGGUGUGGCCUGUCAAGAUCAGGCCUGCCUCCAGUCUUCAGCAACUGGUCCAGCUGUAACUCAUUGGGGGACAAGAUCACCCUCUACAAUUCCCCCUUUUUCUUUUAACCACAGAGUUGCAGCAUUUCCAGAAGUACAUAUUCAAAUAAAUUAACAUUAUUACAUAUUUGUAUAUUUCAUUUAGAAUUAAGAGUUAUACAAAUGUUCAAAACAGCAUGUUACAGCACAGACAUAUAUUUCUAAAUAUUAGUUCAGUUCUACAGCUUUUCCCAAUUCACAAAAGCACUUAUCUUCAAGGUCUUUUACACUCAUGUUUAGCAAACACUAAUUGUUGUAAUUAUUAUAUUUUGACAAUAGUUUAGUGUUCAAGUCCUGUUUCCCAAAUCCACGGGGUAUUUGGUCAAAUCCAGUUUCCUGAAUCCAUGAGGUUAUUUGGUCAAAUCCAGUUUCCCCCAAAUCCACAGGGUAUUUGGUCAAAUCCCAUUUCUUGCUCUAUUUCCUGCUCCUCCAAUUCAUCCCCUCUAUCUUGUUCUACUUUCCAUUCUUUCAGUGCCUCAUACAACAGUCUCCAGGUAGUAGCCAAAUCGACAGCAUUCUUAUUCCCCCUUAGAUAUCACUUCCCAUAGUCUCUUUCCAACCCUUUUCCACGCAUGGACACUGAAGGCAGUGUCAGCAUCGGCUUCAAAGUCCUGUGAUUUGCACCAUAUCAGUAAACUACCAAGAUCACAAUCAGAAGUUUGAACAUUUUUUCUUUUCAGUAAAGUUUUCCACGUGGACAAAACAGUAUUUUCCUCGUCUGACAAAUUAUUCCCCAUUAUUUUCGCAAUUGCUCACCUCAAAUCAGACAUCUGAAUUAGGUCCAGACUCCCACAGCGUCCCUGCUGCCUUCACUCACUUUUUAUAGGGUACCCUUCAAAAAUUUCUUUUCACUCUCUUUUUACAGUCCCAUUGCAAUCAUGUCACAUAGUUUAGUCCCAAAUCACAUCGGGGUCACCAUUUGUUGUCUCAGCUAGCACAGGUUCUAUCACCAUCAUAGCACAAGGAUUUCAUAUUAUCAGAGCUUCAUACCUUCUUAAUGUUCCUCACAGGCAGCUCCUCUACACACUGACUUCUCCAGGUCCUCACAGUAGUCUGACUCCUCUCACUCCUCUUUCCUUACUCUUAUAUAGCACUAGU